Molecule: ribosomal RNA, 295 nt
Filed under: uncultured bacterium
Lineage: Bacteria
Description: partial 16S ribosomal RNA
Rfam family: Bacterial small subunit ribosomal RNA
Source: RNAcentral
GAUGAACGCUGGCGGCGUGCCUAACACAUGCAAGUCGAACGAAGCACUGUAAACGGAGAUUCGUCGAAGUUUGCUUUGACUUAGUGGCGGACGGGUGAGUAAUGUAUGAGCAACCUGCCUUUCAGUGGGGGACAACAGUUGGAAACGACUGCUAAUACCGCAUGAUGUCAAUUGGGGGCAUCCCCGAAUGACCAAAGGAUUUAUUCGCUGAAAGAUGGGCUCAUAUCUGAUUAGCUAGUUGGUGAGGUAACGGCUCACCAAGGCUGCGAUCAGUAGCCGGACUGAGAGGUUGAAC